Molecule: ribosomal RNA, 318 nt
Filed under: uncultured eukaryote
Lineage: Eukaryota
Description: partial 18S ribosomal RNA
Rfam family: Eukaryotic small subunit ribosomal RNA
Source: RNAcentral
CCCUUAGAUGUCCUGGGCCGCACGCGUGCUACACUGAUGCAUACAGCGAGUACUUUCCAGCUCCGCGAGGCAGCUGGUAAUCAGCAAUAUGCAUCGUGCUGGGGAUAGAUCUUUGGAAUUAUAGAUCUUGAACGAGGAAUUCCUAGUAAGCGCAAGUCAUUAGCUUGCGCUGAUUAAGUCCCUGCCCUUUGUACACACCGCCCGUCGCUCCUACCGAUUUCGAGUGAUUCGGUGAACCUUUUGGACAGCGUCUGUCCUCGUGUCAGAUGCUGAAAGUCAAGUAAACCAUACCACUUAGAGGAAGGAGAAGUCGUAACA